RNAcentral lists this ribosomal RNA (269 nucleotides) under Armatimonadota bacterium. RNAcentral's name for it is "Armatimonadetes bacterium (anaerobic digester metagenome) partial 23S ribosomal RNA". It matches the Rfam family "Bacterial large subunit ribosomal RNA", at positions 2668 to 2925 of the family's 2925-position model. The record is from RNAcentral. Lineage: Bacteria; Bacillati; Armatimonadota.
GGGGCUGCCCCUAGUACGAGAGGACCGGGGUGGACAGACCUCUGGUGUAUCGGUUGUCGUGCCAACGGCAGGUGCCGAGUAGCUAUGUCUGGAAGGGAUAACCGCUGAAAGCAUCUAAGUGGGAAGCCUGCCACAAGAUUAAUCUUCUCACAGGGUUAACCUGGUAAGGUUCCCGGUAGACGACCGGGUUGAUAGGCGGCAAGUGUAAGUGCAGCAAUGUAUUUAGCUAAGCCGUACUAAUAGACCGAGGGCUUGACCAUUUGCAAUAU